RNAcentral lists this ribosomal RNA (465 nucleotides) under uncultured Klebsiella sp. RNAcentral's name for it is "bacterial SSU rRNA". It matches the Rfam family "Bacterial small subunit ribosomal RNA", at positions 338 to 795 of the family's 1533-position model. Lineage: Bacteria; Pseudomonadati; Pseudomonadota; Gammaproteobacteria; Enterobacterales; Enterobacteriaceae. The record is from RNAcentral.
CCUACGGGAGGCAGCAGUGGGGAAUAUUGCACAAUGGGCGCAAGCCUGAUGCAGCCAUGCCGCGUGUGUGAAGAAGGCCUUCGGGUUGUAAAGCACUUUCAGCGGGGAGGAAGGCGGUGAGGUUAAUAACCUCAUCGAUUGACGUUACCCGCAGAAGAAGCACCGGCUAACUCCGUACCAGCAGCCGCGGUAAUACGGAGGGUGCAAGCGUUAAUCGGAAUUACUGGGCGUAAAGCGCACGCAGGCGGUCUGUCAAGUCGGAUGUGAAAUCCCCGGGCUCAACCUGGGAACUGCAUUCGAAACUGGCAGGCUAGAGUCUUGUAGAGGGGGGUAGAAUUCCAGGUGUAGCGGUGAAAUGCGUAGAGAUCUGGAGGAAUACCGGUGGCGAAGGCGGCCCCCUGGACAAAGACUGACGCUCAGGUGCGAAAGCGUGGGGAGCAAACAGGAUUAGAUACCCUAGUAGUC